UUGUAGAGUAACGGAAGGAUACACCUGGAUCUACUAUACCUGAGCCAAAUGAAUAAAGGUGGAAUUUGAUUGAGGAAAGAGAGGGUAUGGGGGAGGUGUAAACGUGUGGCUACUAAGACUGAGGUAUAGACUAGGAUUAGAUACCCUAUUAUUCUUAUAGUUUUAAAUAGAUAGCUCGGGUAGUAAAAAGUUAUGGGCUUCAAACCUAAAGAAAUUGGCGGCACCUUAGCUAAUUAGAGGAACCUGUCCCUUAAUACGAUAAACCACGAAAUGAUCGAACUUACUAUUGUACAUGGUCAGUUUGUAUACCGUCAUCUUCAGGUGAGUUCCAUAGAAUUUAACCUAUAAGCUCCGAGAGGGGAGGAAAGUUAGAUCAAGGUGCAGCUUAUUAGUAAGAGGUGAGAUGUGUUACAGUGUGUAAUGCGGUGCGGAGGUAAGCUUUUAAAGGGCUUAUUGAAGUAGGAUUUAACAGUAAUAAUGAAAUAUAGUAAGGCAUUAUGAUUUUAGCUCUGGGGUGUGUACAAAUCGCCCGUCGCUCUCGCUCAAAGGU
RNAcentral lists this ribosomal RNA (550 nucleotides) under Cinetorhynchus erythrostictus. RNAcentral describes it as "partial 12S ribosomal RNA". The stretch from base 178 to 550 matches the Rfam family "Microsporidia small subunit ribosomal RNA", at positions 752 to 1216 of the family's 1311-position model. The record is from RNAcentral. Lineage: Eukaryota; Metazoa; Arthropoda; Malacostraca; Decapoda; Rhynchocinetidae.